GGAGUUUGGACCGUGUCUCAGUUCCAAUGUGGGGGACCUUCCUCUCAGAACCCCUACCGAUCGAGGGCUUGGUGGGCCGUUACCCCGCCAACUACCUAAUCGGACGCAUCCCCAUCCAUGGCCGGUAAACCUUUUGUCCUCGUUAGAUGUCUGCAAAGGACGCCAUAGGGCAUUAAUCCGCUUUUCAACGGGCUAUUCCCUAGCCAUGGGCAGGUUGGAUACGCGUUACUCACCCGUGCGCCGGUCGACGCCUAAAGAAAGCAAGCUUUCAAUAUCGUUUCCCCUCGACUUGCAUGUGUUAAGCCUGUAGCUAGCGUUCAUC
RNAcentral lists this ribosomal RNA (322 nucleotides) under uncultured Prevotella sp. RNAcentral's name for it is "partial 16S ribosomal RNA". Lineage: Bacteria; Pseudomonadati; Bacteroidota; Bacteroidia; Bacteroidales; Prevotellaceae. The record is from RNAcentral.